CAACAACCAGUACCAGGUUCUCUAUCACUACCCACCAACAACCAGUACCAGGUCCUCUAUCAGUACCCCACCAACAACCAAUACCAGGUCCUCUAUCAGUAGCCCACCAACAACCAAUACCAGAGCAAGGUCCUCUAUCAGUACCUCAACAACAACCAGUACAAGGUCCUCUAUCAGUACCCCACCAACCACCAGUACCAGGUCCUCUAUCAGUACCCCACCAACAACCAGUACCAGAGCAAGGUCCUCUAUCAGUUACCACCAACAACCAGUACAAGGUCCUCUAUCAGUACCCCACCAACAACCAGUACCAGGUCCUCUAUCAGUACCCCACCAACAACCAAUACCAGAGCAAGGUCCUCUAUCAGUACCCCACCAACAACCAAAACAAGGUUCUCUAUCAGUACUCCACCAACAACCAGUAUCAGAGCAAGGUCCUCUAUCAGUACCCCACCAACAACCAAUACAAGGUUCUCUAUCAGUACUCAACCAACAACCAGUACAUGGUUCUCUAUUAGUACCACACCAACAACCAGUAUCAGAGCAAGGUCCUCUAUCAGUA
This 562-nucleotide long non-coding RNA is filed under the name Mizuhopecten yessoensis (Yesso scallop). Its description in RNAcentral is "uncharacterized LOC110460088, transcript variant X4". Lineage: Eukaryota; Metazoa; Mollusca; Bivalvia; Pectinida; Pectinidae. The record is from RNAcentral.